RNAcentral lists this microRNA precursor (131 nucleotides) under Manihot esculenta (cassava). RNAcentral describes it as "mir-172 microRNA precursor family". It matches the Rfam family "mir-172 microRNA precursor family". From Rfam's summary of the family: mir-172 has been experimentally verified in Arabidopsis thaliana. Lineage: Eukaryota; Viridiplantae; Streptophyta; Magnoliopsida; Malpighiales; Euphorbiaceae. The record is from Rfam by way of RNAcentral.
UUGUUUGCUGGUGCAGCAUCACCAAGAUUCACAUUUGCAAAUGCAGAGAAUGAGCUAGCUAGCUUCACUUUCUGCCCGACUCCUUCAUGUAUUGAGAGUGAGAAUCUUGAUGAUGCUGCAUCGGCCAUUAA